GGAUGUGAGGGCGAUCUGGCUGAGACAUCUGUCACCCCACUGAUCGACAGGGUUGAUUGACUAGGCUGUCCUCCCUCACUGCUCGGUCAAAGAGGGUGACCUUCCCGGAACAGAGGAGGACUGGUCUUCAGUCAAGGAUGCCUGUAGCUGCACCCCCCCUGCUAGGGCCGCCAAACAAGCUCUCAAGAACUACAAAGUUUCAAAGCUGCAUGCUUUGGUACAAUCUUGGUUUUUAAUUUGGAAGGACAGUCUGU
Molecule: small nuclear RNA, 254 nt
Filed under: Mesocricetus auratus (golden hamster)
Lineage: Eukaryota; Metazoa; Chordata; Mammalia; Rodentia; Cricetidae
Description: 7SK RNA
Rfam family: 7SK RNA
About the family: 7SK was discovered as an abundant small nuclear RNA in the mid-70s but a possible function has only recently been suggested. Two independent studies have found that 7SK RNA binds the CDK9/cyclin T complex (known as elongation factor P-TEFb).
Source: Rfam by way of RNAcentral